CAUAACUCAUCUGCUAGUUUCUGGAAUGUCUUGUUGUACUACAGGGACCAAACAAUUCCUUUUAGAAUGCAAGUUUUCCUAUCAGUAUUGUUUGAUUUUAUUGAACAAAUUAUUUAGUUAGUGAAAAUAUAAAAAUACAUUUGUUAGUCUAACAAUUUUACAAAAAAUUAGCACAAUAGAAAAAAAUAAACCAAAUAAGAGUAAUAUUUUACAAACAUGUAGUGCUGAUAUUUAACUCCAAUCUUAGUGAAAUAUGCAAGAUAGGAGGUGAUGGACUGCACACAAUUUAUGAGCUCUCAUUUACACUCAACCACAAAGUGAGCAUAAUACAAAUUGAGUAAAACUCAAUGCAACAUACAAAAUUUAUAAACUGAUUUAGUGCCAUGAUUUAACUCCAUCUCGUUGAAUUAUUCAAGAGAAGAAGCUGAUAAACAGCACUAACUUUCUGAGUUUUUCAGACCCUAACCCCACUAAUAUAUUCUAGAGCAAGAGUAUAGUUAAAACUCAAAGUAAACACAUACUUAAGAAAAAAAAUUAAGAACAAAACUAUGAAAAGCCUCAGUAAAAUCCGGUGUGAUCAUGAUUGAUGCAGUGAAAAUAAGGAGGUUCCCCCUGCAAAAGCAGGGACCUUAGAUCCACUACACCUCACCGUUGGAUUGGAUCAUCAUCGGCUGCUAAUAUAUAUAAAAAUUUGGGAAUAAAAUUUUCUAAAUCUCAGAGAAAUUUAAUAAUUUCAUGAUGAAUGCUAAUUGCAAUCUCAAAUACUAUCCAGCAAUUUCAGAUAUCGUCAUAGAUUUAAAUAUAAACAACUAAAAAGGAUUAACUAGAAUGAGAUUAAGAGGCUCAGUAAUAUAAACAGCUCUAUCAAUCACAGAAUAUCAGAAGCAGAACUGGCAUUAAAGCUGUAUUAGAAAUCAUCACUGCCAAACUAAUUAGUGAAAAAAAAGAAGAUAAAUCUGGCUCAUAUCAAGAAAUUCAACCAAUUUAUGUUAUGCUUCAUCGAUUUCUCUCAGAAGCGCGGAUAAAUCCGUUUUAAUCAUCGCCAAAUUCUAGAAAAAUACAGAAUUUUCUUACAAAAAUGGGGAUUUUGCCGUUGAUUUGACACAAAUUAGCCAUGAAUAGAAGGUACAAAGGGCUAAACUGCAACACUAGCGGCGAUUAAAUUUAGCACGAGCUUUGGGGCUUCUAACUUCACUAUAUAAACUCAGAUGAGCCCGGGAGGCUACGUGCAAAUACAACAUUCAGAUUACUAUACAAAGAAAAGAAUAGAAACGGUGAACACCAUUGAAGUAAAGAAAAAGCUAGGUUAAGAUUAAUUGAUGAUAAAGG
This 1329-nucleotide long non-coding RNA is filed under the name Solanum tuberosum (potato). Its description in RNAcentral is "long non-coding RNA (STUB_LNC007667)". The record is from RNAcentral. Lineage: Eukaryota; Viridiplantae; Streptophyta; Magnoliopsida; Solanales; Solanaceae.